CGGCUCUUCCUAUCAUUGCGAAGCAGAAUUCACCAAGCGUUGGAUUGUUCACCCACCAACAGGGAACUUGAGCUGG
RNAcentral lists this non-coding RNA (76 nucleotides) under Lottia gigantea (owl limpet). RNAcentral describes it as "Eukaryotic large subunit ribosomal RNA". It matches the Rfam family "Eukaryotic large subunit ribosomal RNA", at positions 2885 to 2960 of the family's 3401-position model. The record is from Rfam by way of RNAcentral. Lineage: Eukaryota; Metazoa; Mollusca; Gastropoda; Lottiidae.